AUUGAACGCUGGCGGCAUGCCUUACACAUGCAAGUCGAACGGCAGCACGGGUGCUUGCACCUGGUGGCGAGUGGCGAACGGGUGAGUAAUACAUCGGAACAUGUCCUGUAGUGGGGGAUAGCCCGGCGAAAGCCGGAUUAAUACCGCAUACGAUCCACGGAUGAAAGCGGGGGACCUUCGGGCCUCGCGCUAUAGGGUUGGCCGAUGGCUGAUUAGCUAGUUGGUGGGGUAAAGGCCUAGCAAGGCGACGAUCAGUAGCUGGUCUGAGAGGACGACCAGCCACACUGGGACUGGGACACGGACCAGACUCCUACGGGAGGCAGCAGUGGGGAAUGUUGGACAAUGGGCGAAAGCCUGACCCAGCAAUGCCGCGUGUGUGAAGAAGGCCUUCGGGUUGUAAAGCACUUUUGACCGGAAAGAAAUCCUUGACUCUAAUACAGUCGGGGGAUGACGGUACCGGAAGAAUAAGCACCGGCUAACUACGUG
RNAcentral lists this ribosomal RNA (486 nucleotides) under uncultured bacterium. Its description in RNAcentral is "partial 16S ribosomal RNA". It matches the Rfam family "Bacterial small subunit ribosomal RNA", at positions 29 to 507 of the family's 1533-position model. The record is from RNAcentral.